Molecule: ribosomal RNA, 274 nt
Filed under: uncultured bacterium
Lineage: Bacteria
Description: partial 16S ribosomal RNA
Rfam family: Bacterial small subunit ribosomal RNA
Source: RNAcentral
AGACGAACCGUGCAAACGUUGUUCGGAAUCACUGGGCUUAAAGGGUGCGUAGGCGGCCUAGCAAGUCGGGUGUGAAAUCCCUCGGCUCAACCGAGGAACUGCGCCCGAAACUGCUUGGCUCGAGGGAGAUAGGGGCGCGUGGAACUUCGGGUGGAGCGGUGAAAUGCGUUGAGAUCCGAAGGAACGCCGGUGGCGAAAGCGACGCGCUGGGUCUCUUCUGACGCUGAGGCACGAAAGCUAGGGGAGCGAACGGGAUUAGAAACCCCGGUAGUCC